This 222-nucleotide ribosomal RNA is filed under the name uncultured Micrococcus sp. RNAcentral's name for it is "partial 16S ribosomal RNA". It matches the Rfam family "Bacterial small subunit ribosomal RNA", at positions 526 to 747 of the family's 1533-position model. Lineage: Bacteria; Bacillati; Actinomycetota; Actinomycetes; Micrococcales; Micrococcaceae. The record is from RNAcentral.
CGUAGGGUGCGAGCGUUAUCCGGAAUUAUUGGGCGUAAAGAGCUCGUAGGCGGUUUGUCGCGUCUGUCGUGAAAGUCCGGGGCUUAACCCCGGAUCUGCGGUGGGUACGGGCAGACUAGAGUGCAGUAGGGGAGACUGGAAUUCCUGGUGUAGCGGUGGAAUGCGCAGAUAUCAGGAGGAACACCGAUGGCGAAGGCAGGUCUCUGGGCUGUAACUGACGCU